This is a long non-coding RNA of Tachysurus fulvidraco (yellow catfish), 512 nucleotides long. RefSeq lists it as uncharacterized. The transcript has 3 exons. The record is from RefSeq and is a predicted model, not a curated record. Lineage: Eukaryota; Metazoa; Chordata; Actinopteri; Siluriformes; Bagridae.
UCCCUCCUUUCAUACGUCCCUUUUUUCCCACCUAGCUCACCAAGUCUGCUGCACUCAUUUUUUUUUCUUUCUCUAACAAACCAGAGAAACCAGAGAUGCCUGAAUCUGCAGACGUUCCCAAUCAGUGCCAGGUCCUCAAACAGGAGGUGGACAAAUGUGUCCAAGGGAAGGGUGCGGAAGCAUGCAAGGAGCUGAUGGAAGCUUUCGAGGCCUGUGUGAAAAGCAGCGUGAGCGCUUCAUGAGAAAAAAGCUUGAGAAGGUCCUCUUCCUUCAGGUCCUUCAGCAUCCCUGCAUUCCCCAGCGCCAUUACUAAGACCAGCCAGAGGCGACGGUGCUGCCGGUUUCCUGGUCUGGAUCACGGAGGUCUCAGCGAUGUUCUGAAUUUAUUAUGUAUGCAAAUGCAGCAGCAGGAGCUCACAGGAUUUGAAUCCAGUAUGUCAGAACAAGUAUUUCUUAAUCUAAGAGAAAUGUAGUUGAUAUAAAUGAUUUUUGAAUAAAAUAUACUUUUAUUA